Molecule: ribosomal RNA, 484 nt
Filed under: uncultured bacterium
Lineage: Bacteria
Description: partial 16S ribosomal RNA
Rfam family: Bacterial small subunit ribosomal RNA
Source: RNAcentral
AUUGAACGCUGGCGGCAGGCCUAACACAUGCAAGUCGAGCGGAUGAAUGGAGCUUGCUCCUGGAUUCAGCGGCGGACGGGUGAGUAAUGCCUAGGAAUCUGCCUGGUAGUGGGGGAUAACGUCCGGAAACGGGCGCUAAUACCGCAUACGUCCUGAGGUAGAAAGUGGGGGAUCUUCGGACCUCACGCUAUCAGAUGAGCCUAGGUCGGAUUAGCUAGUUGGUGGGGUAAAGGCCUACCAAGGCGACGAUCCGUAACUGGUCUGAGAGGAUGAUCAGUCACACUGGAACUGAGACACGGUCCAGACUCCUACGGGAGGCAGCAGUGGGGAAUAUUGGACAAUGGGCGAAAGCCUGAUCCAGCCAUGCCGCGUGUGUGAAGAAGGUCUUCGGAUUGUAAAGCACUUUAAGUUGGGAGGAAGGGCAGUAAGUUAAUACCUGGCUGUUUUGACGGUACCAACAGAAUAAGCACCGGCUAACUUCGUG